GUAAAAUCGGAACAAGAUGGCGGCAUCUGGAGGAGCAAGGUUGAGGAAAAGGAAGAAAGAUAUCGAUGGACAUGGUGGAUUGGAAUACAGAUCAGACCAGACGGCGGACAGUCAAAUAGACAGUGACACAGAAGAUGACUACAUUGAUGUUAGAAAAGCAAAGCACAAAAUAGAUGAGAACAAAGAA
This is a long non-coding RNA of Mytilus californianus (California mussel), 187 nucleotides long. RefSeq lists it as uncharacterized. NCBI's taxonomy places the organism in Eukaryota, Metazoa, Mollusca, Bivalvia, Mytilida, Mytilidae. The transcript has 3 exons. The record is from RefSeq and is a predicted model, not a curated record.